AUGUCUCGUGGUGUACUCUAUCGUGGGUAUUUUUGGCUAUGCCCGCUGGGGGUCCCAAACCCAUGGGGAUAUCCUCACCAACUAUGAUUUUGCAACCUCACCUGUCCUCAUUAAGGGUACAUUUGUGA
This 128-nucleotide non-coding RNA is filed under the name Eutreptiella gymnastica. Lineage: Eukaryota; Euglenozoa; Euglenophyceae; Eutreptiales; Eutreptiaceae. The record is from RNAcentral.